This 859-nucleotide ribosomal RNA is filed under the name Seiridium pseudocardinale. RNAcentral's name for it is "eukaryotic LSU rRNA". It matches the Rfam family "Eukaryotic large subunit ribosomal RNA", at positions 78 to 964 of the family's 3401-position model. The record is from RNAcentral. Lineage: Eukaryota; Fungi; Ascomycota; Sordariomycetes; Amphisphaeriales; Sporocadaceae.
CCCUAGUAACGGCGAGUGAAGCGGCAACAGCUCAAAUUUGAAAUCUGGCCCUUGGGUCCGAAUUGUAAUUUGUAGAGGAUGAUUUUGGUGCGGUAUCUUCCGAGUUCCUUGGAACAGGACGCCUUAGAGGGUGAGAGCCCCGUACGGUUGAAUGCCUAGCCUCUGUAAAUCUCCUUCGACGAGUCGAGUAGUUUGGGAAUGCUGCUCUAAAUGGGAGGUAAAUUUCUUCUAAAGCUAAAUACUGGCCAGAGACCGAUAGCGCACAAGUAGAGUGAUCGAAAGAUGAAAAGCACUUUGAAAAGAGGGUUAAAUAGCACGUGAAAUUGUUGAAAGGGAAGGAUUUAUGACCAGACUUUUUCUGGGCGGAUCAUCCGGUGUUCUCACCGGUGCACUUUGCCCAGUUUAGGCCAGCAUCGAUUUUCGGAGAGGGAUAAAAGCUUUGGGAAUGUGGCUCCUCCGGGAGUGUUAUAGCCCAUUGUAUAAUACCUUUCUGGGGAUCGAGGUACGCGCUUCUGCAAGGAUGCUGGCGUAAUGGUUAUCAAUCACCCGUCUUGAAACACGGACCAAGGAGUCGAACAUUUGUGCAAGUGUUUGGGUGUUAAACCCUCACGCGUAAUGAAAGUGAACGGAGGUGAGAGCCCUUACGGGUGCAUCAUCGACCGAUCCUGAAGUUUUCGGAUGGAUUUGAGUAAGAGCAUAACUGUUCGGACCCGAAAGAUGGUGAACUAUGCGUGGAUAGGGUGAAGCCAGAGGAAACUCUGGUGGAGGCUCGCAGCGGUUCUGACGUGCAAAUCGAUCGUCAAAUCUGCGCAUGGGGGCGAAAGACUAAUCGAACCAUCUAGUAGCUGGUUACCGCCGA